ACCUGGCUGGCUCAGUGGAUAGAGCAUGUGACUCUUGAUCUCAGGGUUGUGAGUUCAAGCCCCUCGUUGGGCA
This 73-nucleotide transfer RNA is filed under the name Canis lupus familiaris (dog). It matches the Rfam family "tRNA". From Rfam's summary of the family: Transfer RNA (tRNA) molecules are approximately 80 nucleotides in length. Lineage: Eukaryota; Metazoa; Chordata; Mammalia; Carnivora; Canidae. RNAcentral also lists the same sequence under 1 other name. The record is from Rfam by way of RNAcentral.